AGCAGCCGCGGUAAUUCCAGCUCCAAUAGCGUAUAUUAAAGUUGUUGCAGUUAAAAAGCUCGUAGUUGAACUUCGGGGUUCACCCAUUGGUCAGGCUUAAUUGUCUGUACUGGUGAGAUGAGUCUCUACCUUCUGAGGAACCUUCAUGCCAUUUAUUUGGUGUGAUCGGAAAUCAGGACUGUUACUUUGAAAAAUUAGAGUGUUUAAAGCAGGCUAACGUCUGAAUACAUUAGCAUGGAAUAAUGAAAUAGGACGGAUUGAUUCUAUUUCGUUGGUCUCUAGGAUCACCGUAAUGAUUAAUAGGGAUAGUUGGGGGCAUUAGUAUUCAAUUGUCAGAGGUGAAAUUCUUGGAUUUAUUGAAGACUAACUACUGCGAAAGCAUUUGCCAAGGAUGUUUUCAUUAAUCAAGAACGAAAGUUAGGGGAUCGAAGACGAUCAGAUACCGUCGUAGUCUUAACCAUAAACUAUGCCGACUAGGGAUCGGACGCAGUUAAUUUAUAAUGACGUGUUCGGUACC
RNAcentral lists this ribosomal RNA (517 nucleotides) under uncultured Glomeromycotina. RNAcentral describes it as "SSU rRNA". It matches the Rfam family "Eukaryotic small subunit ribosomal RNA", at positions 569 to 1087 of the family's 1831-position model. Lineage: Eukaryota; Fungi; Glomeromycota. The record is from RNAcentral.